GAUGAACGCUGGCGGCGUGCCUAAUACGUGCAAGUCGAGCGAACGGACGAGAAGCUUGCUUCUCUGAUGUUAGCGGCGGACGGGUGAGUAACACGUGGAUAACCUACCUAUAAGACUGGGAUAACUUCGGGAAACCGGAGCUAAUACCGGAUAAUAUUUUGAACCGCAUGGUUCAAAAGUGAAAGACGGUCUUGCUGUCACUUAUAGAUGGAUCCGCGCUGCAUUAGCUAGUUGGUAAGGUAACGGCUUACCAAGGCAACGAUGCAUAGCCGACCUGAGAGGGUGAUCGGCCACACUGGAACUGAGACACGGUCCAGACUCCUACGGGAGGCAGCAGUAGGGAAUCUUCCGCAAUGGGCGAAAGCCUGACGGAGCAACGCCGCGUGAGUGAUGAAGGUCUUCGGAUCGUAAAACUCUGUUAUUAGGGAAGAACAUAUGUGUAAGUAACUGUGCACAUCUUGACGGUACCUAAUCAGAAAGCCACGGCUAACUACGUGCCGGCAGCCGCGGUAAUACGUAGGUGGCAAGCGUUAUCCGGAAUUAUUGGGCGUAAAGCGCGCGUAGGCGGUUUUUUAAGUCUGAUGUGAAAGCCCACGGCUCAACCGUGGAGGGUCAUUGGAAACUGGAAAACUUGAGUGCAGAAGAGGAAAGUGGAAUUCCAUGUGUAGCGGUGAAAUGCGCAGAGAUAUGGAGGAACACCAGUGGCGAAGGCGACUUUCUGGUCUGUAACUGACGCUGAUGUGCGAAAGCGUGGGGAUCAAACAGGAUUAGAUACCCUGGUAGUCCACGCCGUAAACGAUGAGUGCUAAGUGUUAGGGGGUUUCCGCCCCUUAGUGCUGCAGCUAACGCAUUAAGCACUCCGCCUGGGGAGUACGACCGCAAGGUUGAAACUCAAAGGAAUUGACGGGGACCCGCACAAGCGGUGGAGCAUGUGGUUUAAUUCGAAGCAACGCGAAGAACCUUACCAAAUCUUGACAUCCUUUGACAACUCUAGAGAUAGAGCCUUCCCCUUCGGGGGACAAAGUGACAGGUGGUGCAUGGUUGUCGUCAGCUCGUGUCGUGAGAUGUUGGGUUAAGUCCCGCAACGAGCGCAACCCUUAAGCUUAGUUGCCAUCAUUAAGUUGGGCACUCUAAGUUGACUGCCGGUGACAAACCGGAGGAAGGUGGGGAUGACGUCAAAUCAUCAUGCCCCUUAUGAUUUGGGCUACACACGUGCUACAAUGGACAAUACAAAGGGCAGCGAAACCGCGAGGUCAAGCAAAUCCCAUAAAGUUGUUCUCAGUUCGGAUUGUAGUCUGCAACUCGACUACAUGAAGCUGGAAUCGCUAGUAAUCGUAGAUCAGCAUGCUACGGUGAAUACGUUCCCGGGUCU
RNAcentral lists this ribosomal RNA (1372 nucleotides) under uncultured bacterium. RNAcentral's name for it is "bacterial SSU rRNA". It matches the Rfam family "Bacterial small subunit ribosomal RNA", at positions 28 to 1381 of the family's 1533-position model. The record is from RNAcentral.